RNAcentral lists this ribosomal RNA (564 nucleotides) under Nocardia sp. 415E02. RNAcentral's name for it is "bacterial SSU rRNA". It matches the Rfam family "Bacterial small subunit ribosomal RNA", at positions 93 to 671 of the family's 1533-position model. The record is from RNAcentral. Lineage: Bacteria; Bacillati; Actinomycetota; Actinomycetes; Mycobacteriales; Nocardiaceae.
GAGCGGCGAACGGGUGAGUAACACGUGGGUGAUCUGCCCUGUACUUCGGGAUAAGCCUGGGAAACUGGGUCUAAUACCGGAUAUGACCUCCGACUGCAUGGUUGGUGGUGGAAAGAUUUAUCGGUGCAGGAUGGGCCCGCGGCCUAUCAGCUUGUUGGUGGGGUAAUGGCCUACCAAGGCGACGACGGGUAGCCGACCUGAGAGGGUGACCGGCCACACUGGGACUGAGACACGGCCCAGACUCCUACGGGAGGCAGCAGUGGGGAAUAUUGCACAAUGGGCGGAAGCCUGAUGCAGCGACGCCGCGUGAGGGAUGACGGCCUUCGGGUUGUAAACCUCUUUCGACAGGGACGAAGCGUGAGUGACGGUACCUGUAGAAGAAGCACCGGCCAACUACGUGCCAGCAGCCGCGGUAAUACGUAGGGUGCGAGCGUUGUCCGGAAUUACUGGGCGUAAAGAGCUUGUAGGCGGUUCGUCGCGUCGAUCGUGAAAACUGGCGGCUCAACUGCCAGCUUGCGGUCGAUACGGGCGGACUAGAGUACUUCAGGGGAGACUGGAAUUCCU